GGUGGAUACCUAGUCACCCAGAGACGAGGAAGGGCGUAGUAAGCGACGAAAUGCUUAGGGAAGUUGAAAAUAAACGUAGAUCUGGAGAUUCUCGAAUAGGUCAACCUUUCAAGUUGCUGCUGAAUCCAUGGGUAGACAAUAGACAACCUGGCGAACUGAAACAUCUUAGUAGUCGAAGGAAAAUGAAGCAAAAAUGAUUCACGUAAUAGUAUCAAGCGAAAUGGGAAUAGCCUAAAUCUUGAAAAUUGGGUUGUGGGAGAGCAAUAAAAGCGUCGUGCUGCUAGGCGAAGCGGUGAAGUGCCGAACCCUAAAUGGCGAUAGUCUAGUAGCCGAAAACAUUAUUAGCUUACGCUUUGACCCGAGUAACAUGAGGCAUGUGGAAUGCUGUGUGAAUCAACAAGGACCACCUUGCAAGACUAAAUACUCCUGGGUGACUGAUAGCGAAAUAGUACCGUGAGGGAAGGGUGAAAAGAACCCCGGUCGAGGAGUGAAAUAGAACAUGUUCUC
Ribosomal RNA from Gossypium raimondii (Peruvian cotton), 507 nucleotides. It matches the Rfam family "Bacterial large subunit ribosomal RNA", at positions 23 to 557 of the family's 2925-position model. The record is from Rfam. Lineage: Eukaryota; Viridiplantae; Streptophyta; Magnoliopsida; Malvales; Malvaceae.